GACGAACGCUGGCGGCGUGCUUAACACAUGCCAGUCGUGCGGUAAGGCCCUUUCGGGGGUCCACGAGCGGCGAACGGGUGAGUAACACGUGAGCAACCUGCCCUUCACUUUGGGAUAACUGCAGGAAACGGUGGCUAAUACUGGAACUGACUUCUUUACGCAUGCGGGGUGGUGGAAAGCCUUCGGGUGGUAGGGGCUGGGUUCGCGGUCGAUCAGCUUGUUGGUGGGGUGAUGGCCUACUAAGGCUUCGACUGGUAGCCGACCUGAGAGGGUGGCCAGCCCCCAGGGGACUGAGACAGGGCCCAGACUGCAACGGGAGGCAGCGGGGGGGAGUAUUAGACAAUGGGCGAAAGCCUGUUCCAGCAGCGCCGGGUGAGUAAUGACGGCCUACGGGUUGUAAACCACUUUCGCCGGCGACGAAGCGGGAGUGACGGUAGCAAGUAAGGAAGCACCGGCCAACUACGUG
This 466-nucleotide ribosomal RNA is filed under the name uncultured bacterium. RNAcentral's name for it is "partial 16S ribosomal RNA". It matches the Rfam family "Bacterial small subunit ribosomal RNA", at positions 28 to 507 of the family's 1533-position model. The record is from RNAcentral.